AGAAAGGGUCGUUGUCCUGCU
RNAcentral lists this microRNA (21 nucleotides) under Oreochromis niloticus (Nile tilapia). RNAcentral describes it as "oni-miR-10741". Lineage: Eukaryota; Metazoa; Chordata; Actinopteri; Cichliformes; Cichlidae. The record is from miRBase by way of RNAcentral.